This 468-nucleotide ribosomal RNA is filed under the name uncultured bacterium. RNAcentral's name for it is "partial 16S ribosomal RNA". It matches the Rfam family "Bacterial small subunit ribosomal RNA", at positions 28 to 507 of the family's 1533-position model. The record is from RNAcentral.
GACGAACGCUGGCGGCGUGCUUAACACAUGCAAGUCGAACGGAAAGGCCCUGCUUUUGUGGGGUGCUCGAGUGGCGAACGGGUGAGUAACACGUGAGUAACCUGCCCUUGACUUUGGGAUAACUUCAGGAAACUGGGGCUAAUACCGGAUAGGAGCUCCUGCUGCAUGGUGGGGGUUGGAAAGUUUCGGCGGUUGGGGAUGGACUCGCGGCUUAUCAGCUUGUUGGUGGGGUAGUGGCUUACCAAGUCUUUGACGGGUAGCCGGCCUGAGAGGGUGACCGGCCACAUUGGGCCUGAGAUACGGCACAGACUCCUACGGGAGGCAGCAGUGGGGAAUAUUGCACAAUGGGCGGAAGCCUGAUGCAGCAACGCCGCGUGCGGGAUGACGGCCUUCGGGUUGUAAACCGCUUUCGCCUGUGACGAAGCGUGAGUGACGGUAAUGGGUAAAGAAGCACCGGCUAACUACGUG